UUAAAUUGAAGAGUUUGAUCAUGGCUCAGAUUGAACGCUGGCGGCAGGCCUAACACAUGCAAGUCGAACGGUAACAGGAAGAAGCUUGCUUCUUUGCUGACGAGUGGCGGACGGGUGAGUAAUGUCUGGGAAACUGCCUGAUGGAGGGGGAUAACUACUGGAAACGGUAGCUAAUACCGCAUA
Molecule: ribosomal RNA, 183 nt
Filed under: Escherichia coli
Lineage: Bacteria; Pseudomonadati; Pseudomonadota; Gammaproteobacteria; Enterobacterales; Enterobacteriaceae
Description: partial 16S ribosomal RNA
Rfam family: Bacterial small subunit ribosomal RNA
Source: RNAcentral